AACGAACGCUGGCGGCAUGCCUAACACAUGCAAGUCGAACGAGACCUCCGGGUCUAGUGGCGCACGGGUGCGUAACGUGUGGGAACCUGCCCUUAGGCUCGGAAAUAUACUUUGAAAGGGGUGCUAAUACCGGAUAAUGUAUUCGGACAAAAGAUUCGUCGUACUUGGAGGGGCCGGCGUUGGAUUAGCCUGUUGGUAGGGUAAAAGCCUACCAAGGCGACGAUCGAUAGCUGGUCUGAGAGGAAGGUCAGCCACACUGGGACGGUGACACGGCACAGACUCCUACGGGAGGCAGCAGUGGGGAAUAUUGGACAAUGGGCUAAAGCCUGAACCAGCAAUGCCGCGUGAGUGAUGAAGGCCUUAGAGAUGUAAAGCUCUUUUACCCGGGAUGAUAAUGACGGUACCGGAAGAAUAAGCACCGGCUAACUCCGUG
This 433-nucleotide ribosomal RNA is filed under the name uncultured bacterium. Its description in RNAcentral is "partial 16S ribosomal RNA". It matches the Rfam family "Bacterial small subunit ribosomal RNA", at positions 29 to 507 of the family's 1533-position model. The record is from RNAcentral.